GGAGUCUACCUAUUAUGCGAGUGUGAGGGUGUAAAAACCUGAACGCGUACCGAAAGGGAGUAUAAGAUGUGAGAUGUCAAAGUUGCAACAUCGACCAUUCCUGAACCUCCGGUGAAGGAUAUGAGUAAGAGCAUAAUCGGUAGGACCCGAAAGAUGGUGAACUACACUUGAGUAGGGUGAAGCCAGGGGAAACUCUGGUGGAGGCUCGUAGCGUUACUGACGUGCAAAUCGUUCGUCAAACUUGCGUGUAGGGGCGAAAGACUAAUCGAACCAUCUAGUAGCUGGUUCCCUCUGAAAUUUCUCUCAGGAAAGCUGGAACAGUUAAUGCAGUUUUAUCAGGUAAAGCUAAUGAUUAGAGGAAUCGGAGUCCUGUGGGCUUUGACCUCUUCUCAAACUUAAUUGGUAAGAACUCCGAGUUAUCUUAAUUG
RNAcentral lists this ribosomal RNA (428 nucleotides) under uncultured eukaryote. RNAcentral's name for it is "eukaryotic LSU rRNA". It matches the Rfam family "Eukaryotic large subunit ribosomal RNA", at positions 670 to 1097 of the family's 3401-position model. The record is from RNAcentral.